Molecule: long non-coding RNA, 1282 nt
Organism: Lytechinus variegatus (green sea urchin)
Lineage: Eukaryota; Metazoa; Echinodermata; Echinoidea; Temnopleuroida; Toxopneustidae
Exons: 2
Source: RefSeq, a predicted model, not a curated record
UGGGGCAAAAAUUGUGACAUCAGGGUAAAAAAAUAGAAAUGUAAUAAAUGAAAUGUUUUAUUUCUUAUAUGUUUCAUGGGACAAUCCUUCAACUAAAUCCACUUACAGGCAUUUCAUACCACCCUGCAUAUUGGAGUAAACUGAGAAAUAAGAUUUGACAAAAUACCACCGUUACAUGGACAUCAUUUAUCAUCCUUACUAAGACUAUGCUCUCCCACUGUCAAAAUAAAGGGGUUGAUCUCCAUUACUCUUGAUAAAUAUUUUGCUAACAACAUUGUUAGUCAUUUUAUUCCACACUUUUCAACAUGGCAUAUAUAUUUUGAAAGAUUUAGCAUCAAUAAAUGGAACUUGAUGCUCUGUGUGUAUACCAGUGCCAUGUUCUGUGUCGUUCUUUUUUCUCACCAGUCUAGAAAAUUGAAUUUAUGAUGGCAUGUAGAACUAAAUAGUUGAGAGAAGUCAUGCCUCAACAGAAUGGAAUAUUCUCUUUGGAAAAAAUAAACUACUCUUUCUGGCAUAACCUUCUAUUUUUGGUGUUACCACCGUUACAUGGACAUCAUGUCUCAGUAACAGAGGUAUACUUAGAAGCAAUGUUAAGUUAAUGUCCAUUAAUGGCCAUUACACACCAAAUUCCACUUCAUGCCUUAGAAUAUUUGCACAAGAUCAAUUGAUUACACUAAAGAAAAACAUUUUGCAUGUCAAAUUCUUUGCAAAUAAAAGCAAAUUAAAUUAGAGUUUAAACAAGGAAAAAUGUACAAAAUUAUUGAUAAAUUUAUAUUUAAAAUAAUACUAAGGUAAUCCUCAAGGUUCCACUUCCGUCUAUCUCUGGAAACAAAUGUUUCUGUCUAAAGCGGAAAAAAACAAAAGAGUGCUAGCUUAUGAUCUCCAAAUCUUUAUUACUUUAAAAUAUCUCCUUCACGGUAUUACUUUCAAAUGUACAUACCUCCGUUACAUGGACAUCAUGUCCUUGUAAUGAUCAUAUUGAAUAGUAUUACAUGUACUUGCCAUUCUUUUAGUAUCAACACACUAAUGCGAGUUAACUCAUCUUACUCAAGUGUAGAAAUACAACAUCUACAGGCAAGCUUCUAAAAUGCAUCAAUGAACAGGUUACAAGUUUAUGAACUUCAAGAUGAUCGGUGACCCAACGACAACUGUGUGGAAGAGGACUAUGUCAAUGUCACAAAAUAGAUAGAGGUAGAAUUGUGCCUCGCCAUCAGGCCAGGAGUACAGGUCACCAGAUUGACACUUCAUGUACUGAAGAUAUACAUUUUUACCUUCAACAGAG